Molecule: ribosomal RNA, 786 nt
Filed under: Acanthamoeba sp.
Lineage: Eukaryota; Discosea; Longamoebia; Acanthamoebidae
Description: SSU rRNA
Rfam family: Eukaryotic small subunit ribosomal RNA
Source: RNAcentral
GCAGUUAAAGCUCGUAGUUGGAUCUAGGGACGCGCAUUUCAAGCGCCCGUGUCGUCGGGUCAAACCGGCGACUGCGUUGGCGUUGCGGGCUCGGUCCGUCGGUGGACCCUCGUGGUCUUAAUCGGCGUGUCAACCGGCCCGCCCGUCCCCUCCUUCUGGAUUCCCGUUCCUGCUAUUGAGUUAGUGGGGACGUCACAGGGGGCUCAUCGUCGUCAUGCAAAUGGCGGCGGUGGGUCCCUGGGGCCCAGAUCGUUUACCGUGAAAAAAUUAGAGUGUUCAAAGCAGGCAGAUCCAAUUUUCUGCCACCGAAUACAUUAGCAUGGGAUAAUGGAAUAGGACCCUGUCCUCCUAUUUUCAGUUGGUUUUGGCAGCGCGAGGACUAGGGUAAUGAUUAAUAGGGAUAGUUGGGGGCAUUAAUAUUUAAUUGUCAGAGGUGAAAUUCUUGGAUUUAUGAAAGAUUAACUUCUGCGAAAGCAUCUGCCAAGGAUGUUUUCAUUAAUCAAGAACGAAAGUUAGGGGAUCGAAGACGAUCAGAUACCGUCGUAGUCUUAACCAUAAACGAUGCCGACCAGCGAUUAGGAGACGUUGAAUACAAAACACCACCAUCGGCGCGGUCGUCCUUGGCGUCUGUCCCUUUCAACGGGGGCAGGCGCGAGGGCGGUUUAGCCCGGUGGCACCGGUGAAUGACUCCCCUAGCAGCUUGUGAGAAAUCAUAAGUCUUUGGGUUCCGGGGGGAGUAUGGUCGCAAGGCUGAAACUUAAAGGAAUUGACGGAAGGGCACCACCA